This 408-nucleotide long non-coding RNA is filed under the name Medicago truncatula (barrel medic). RNAcentral's name for it is "long non-coding RNA (MTRU_LNC000513)". The record is from RNAcentral. Lineage: Eukaryota; Viridiplantae; Streptophyta; Magnoliopsida; Fabales; Fabaceae.
CAUUUUUGGAUAUCCUUUUUCGUUCUAAGCAUGAAUAUGGCACUGGUUUUUGCAUGCAAAGCCUGAAUCAACGUAGAUCUACGCUUUUUGCUCGCGGUUUUGAAAGAAACUUUUUCAAGUUUUUUUACUUUUUCGAAUGGAAUCUUUUAGAAUUUCGUAGAUCUACACUUGAUUCGUCUUUGUUGAUGUUCUUGGAAAAAAAAGAUGAGGUUUGAGUUUUACCUGUGAUUUUCUUGGUGAUUUCGAACCGAAUCUUCAAGAAAACUUGAGUUGAAUCUUGUUCUGUUGAUUCUGGCUUGAGUUCUUGCUGUUCCGAUCCUCUCUUCUUCUUCACAGGUUCGACGUGUUCAUUUUCGUCCCUCUUCUUCGUCUCCGAGAAAGUCUCUGUGAUCGUGCUUGAGUUUGCCG